Molecule: transfer RNA, 63 nt
Filed under: Dipodomys ordii (Ord's kangaroo rat)
Lineage: Eukaryota; Metazoa; Chordata; Mammalia; Rodentia; Heteromyidae
Rfam family: tRNA
About the family: Transfer RNA (tRNA) molecules are approximately 80 nucleotides in length.
Source: Rfam by way of RNAcentral
GGGAAUGUGGCUUAGUGGUAGAGUGCUUGCUUAGCAUGCAUGAAGCCCUGAGUUCCAUUCCUU